UACGUAGGGGGCAAGCGUUGUCCGGAAUUAUUGGGCGUAAAGCGCGUGUAGGCGGUUCGAUAAGUCGGUUGUGAAAGUCCAGGGCUCAACCCUGGGAUGCCGACCGAUACUGUCGGACUAGAGUCCGGAAGAGGUGAGUGGAAUUCCCGGUGUAGCGGUGAAAUGCGCAGAUAUCGGGAGGAACACCAAUGGCGAAGGCAGCUCACUGGGACGGUACUGACGCUGAGACGCGAAAGCGUGGGGAGCAAACAGG
RNAcentral lists this ribosomal RNA (253 nucleotides) under uncultured bacterium. RNAcentral describes it as "partial 16S ribosomal RNA". It matches the Rfam family "Bacterial small subunit ribosomal RNA", at positions 524 to 776 of the family's 1533-position model. The record is from RNAcentral.